This 846-nucleotide ribosomal RNA is filed under the name Rhizophagus intraradices. RNAcentral describes it as "eukaryotic LSU rRNA". It matches the Rfam family "Eukaryotic large subunit ribosomal RNA", at positions 1 to 694 of the family's 3401-position model. The record is from RNAcentral. Lineage: Eukaryota; Fungi; Glomeromycota; Glomeromycetes; Glomerales; Glomeraceae.
AUUUGACCUCAAAUCAGGUAGGAGUACCCGCUGAACUUAAGCAUAUCAAUAAGCGGAGGAAAAGAAAAUAACAAUGAUUCCCCUAGUAACUGCGAGUGAAGAGGGACAAGCUCAAAUUUUAAAUCUGUUAGGUUUACCUAACCGAGUUGUAAUUUGAAGAGGCGUUUUUCUGUGUUUUUGAUCAGCCCAAGUCCUUUGGGAUAGGGCAUCAUGGAGGGUGAGAAUCCCGUUCGGUUGAUCAGAUUCGCUUUACGAUACGUCAUCUAAGAGUCAAGUUGUUUGGGAUUGCAGCUUAAAAUGGGAGGUAAAUUUCUCCUAAGGCUAAAUAACGGCGAGAGACCGAUAGCGAACAAGUACCGUGAGGGAAAGAUGAAAAGAACUUUGAAAAGAGAGUUAAACAGUACGUGAAAUUGUUGAAAGGGAAACGAUUGAAGCCAGUCGUACCUUCGGGUAAUCAGCCUUUCGGGUGCGAUUCUGUGGAGCGUGGGGAGUUAAACGCCUUCAUGCCUGCAUAUUCGUGCACUUUGGGUGUACUUGCCCGUGUGGUAGGUUAACAUCAAUUUCGGAUGUCAUAAAAUGGCUGGAGGAAUGUAGCUUCGGUCUCGUACUGAAGUGUUAUAGCCUUUGGUAGAUGUGAUGACCGGGAUUGAGGAUUGCAACGAAUACCUUUUGGGCUAUCCGUCUGAUCUCUGAAAGUUGCUCUGGUGCCGAAAGCUUGCUUACGGUUAUCAAAGUUGACGUUCAAAAGGUUAGAACGGGUUAAAUUCGUUAAGGAUGUUGACGUAAUGGCUUUAAACGACCCGUCUUGAAACACGGACCAAGGAGUCUAACAUAUAUGCGAGUGUU